AACGAACGCUGGCGGCAUGCCUAACACAUGCAAGUCGAACGAGACCUUCGGGUCUAGUGGCGCACGGGUGCGUAACGCGUGGGAACCUGCCUUUAGGUUCGGAAUAACUCAGAGAAAUUUGAGCUAAUACCGGAUGAUGUCUUCGGACCAAAGAUUUAUCGCCUUUAGAUGGGCCCGCGUUGGAUUAGCUAGUUGGUGGGGUAAAGGCCUACCAAGGCGACGAUCCAUAGCUGGUCUGAGAGGAUGAUCAGCCACACUGGGACUGAGACACGGCCCAGACUCCUACGGGAGGCAGCAGUGGGGAAUAUUGGACAAUGGGCGAAAGCCUGAUCCAGCAAUGCCGCGUGAGUGAUGAAGGCCUUAGGGUUGUAAAGCUCUUUUACCCGAGAUGAUAAUGACAGUAACGGGAGAAUAAGCUCCGGCUAACUCCGUG
RNAcentral lists this ribosomal RNA (433 nucleotides) under uncultured bacterium. Its description in RNAcentral is "partial 16S ribosomal RNA". It matches the Rfam family "Bacterial small subunit ribosomal RNA", at positions 29 to 507 of the family's 1533-position model. The record is from RNAcentral.